AAGAAUCUCGUCCAGAUUUGGUGGUCCUCCCUUUUGACGUGGUCCCCAAAAUGAAGGUAUUAAGGUUUAAGCUUUGUCUGUAGCAAAAUCUCUCAAACAUGUUGUUUAUUAUGAGUUUCUUAUUCACUGCCGUGAAAAGUCUACAUGUCACGGUAAGAACUUUGCUUUUACUGUCAUGUAAUUCUUGAAUUUUUCGCAGGUUUUUUCAUUCGUAUGCUCAGAGUAUGGCGCGCUUAAGUUGUAACCUUGGAUUGGCAAGUGACUUGAUUCAUUCGUAUGCUCAGAGUAUGGCGCGCUUAAGUUGUAACCUUGGAUUGGCAAGUGACUUGUGGGGUUUAGAAUGAAUGAGAAUGGUC
This 356-nucleotide long non-coding RNA is filed under the name Lathyrus oleraceus (garden pea). RNAcentral's name for it is "Pisum sativum (pea) long non-coding RNA (PSAT_LNC039122)". The record is from RNAcentral. Lineage: Eukaryota; Viridiplantae; Streptophyta; Magnoliopsida; Fabales; Fabaceae.